AGCCGCUGCCAGCGCGCGCGGCGCGCCUCGGCCUGUUCGCGAUAGGCCUGGCGCAGCUCGUCGGCGUGGGUGUCCAGUUCGAGGUCGGCGGCGCCUUC
Molecule: transfer RNA, 98 nt
Filed under: Pseudomonas aeruginosa
Lineage: Bacteria; Pseudomonadati; Pseudomonadota; Gammaproteobacteria; Pseudomonadales; Pseudomonadaceae
Also listed under: 3 other names
Description: tRNA-Ala(cgc)
Source: RNAcentral